This 401-nucleotide ribosomal RNA is filed under the name uncultured bacterium. RNAcentral describes it as "bacterial SSU rRNA". It matches the Rfam family "Bacterial small subunit ribosomal RNA", at positions 355 to 773 of the family's 1533-position model. The record is from RNAcentral.
UGGGGAAUAUUGGACAAUGGGCGAAAGCCUGAUCCAGCAAUGCCGCGUGAGUGAUGAAGGCCUUAGGGUUGUAAAGCUAUUUUACCCGGGAUGAUAAUGACAGUACCGGGAGAAUAAGCCCCGGCUCACUCCGUGCCAGCAGCCGCGGUAAUACGGGGGGGGCAAGCGUUGUUCGGAAUUACUGGGCGUAAAGGGCGCGUAGACGGUUCGCUAAGUCGGAUGUGAAAACUCUGGGCUCAACCCAGAGCCUGCAUCCGAAACUGGCGGGCUAGAGCUCUGGAGGGGGUAGCGGAAUUCCUGGUGUAGCGGUGAAAUGCGUAGAUAUCAGGAGGAACACCGGUGGCGAAGGCGGCUACCUGGACAGAAACUGACGCUGAGGCGCGAAAGCUAGGGGAGCAAAC